GCUCGCUUGGUGAAAUUGGCAAACACGACAGACUCAAAAUCUGUGUCCUAAACAGGAUUACCGGUUCAAGUCCGGUAGCGAGUA
This 84-nucleotide transfer RNA is filed under the name Jakoba bahamiensis. RNAcentral's name for it is "tRNA-Leu". It matches the Rfam family "tRNA". From Rfam's summary of the family: Transfer RNA (tRNA) molecules are approximately 80 nucleotides in length. Their secondary structure includes four short double-helical elements and three loops (D, anti-codon, and T loops). The record is from RNAcentral. Lineage: Eukaryota; Jakobea; Jakobida; Jakobidae.